UUGGAGGGCAAGUCUGGUGCCCGCAGCCGCGGUAAUUCCAGCUCCAAUAGCGUAUAUUAAAGUUGCUGCAGUUAAAAAGCUCGUAGUUGAAUUUCGGGGUCAGUAGGUUGGUCGUGCCUAUGGUAUGUACUGGCUUUACUGAUUCCUCCUUCUUGAAGAACUGUAAUGUCAUUAAUUUGGUGUUGCAGGGAAACAGGACUGUUACUUUGAAAAAAUUAGAGUGUUUAAAGCAGGCUAACGCUUGAAUACAUUAGCAUGGAAUAAUGAAAUAGGACGUUCGAUCCUAUUUUGUUGGUUUCUAGGAUUGACGUAAUGAUUAAUAGGGAUAGUUGGGGGCAUUAGUAUUCAAUUGUCAGAGGUGAAAUUCUUGGAUUUAUUGAAGACUAACUACUGCGAAAGCAUUUGCCAAGGAUGUUUUCAUUAAUCAAGAACGAAAGUUAGGGGAUCGAAGACGAUCAGAUACCGUCGUAGUCUUAACCAUAAACUAUGCCGACUAGGGAUCGGAUGAUGUUAAUUUUUUAAUGACUCAUUCGGCGCCUUACGGGAAAC
Molecule: ribosomal RNA, 549 nt
Filed under: uncultured Glomeromycotina
Lineage: Eukaryota; Fungi; Glomeromycota
Description: SSU rRNA
Rfam family: Eukaryotic small subunit ribosomal RNA
Source: RNAcentral